RNAcentral lists this ribosomal RNA (253 nucleotides) under uncultured bacterium. RNAcentral describes it as "partial 16S ribosomal RNA". It matches the Rfam family "Bacterial small subunit ribosomal RNA", at positions 524 to 776 of the family's 1533-position model. The record is from RNAcentral. RNAcentral also lists the same sequence under 1 other name.
GACGAACCGAGCGAACGUUGUUCGGAAUCACUGGGCUUAAAGGGCGCGUAGGCGGGCUGCCAAGUCUGGGGUGAAAUCCCGCGGCUCAACCGUGGAACUGCCUCAGAUACUGGCGGCCUCGAGGGAGAUAGGGGCGAGCGGAACUAAUGGUGGAGCGGUGAAAUGCGUUGAUAUCAUUAGGAACUCCGGUGGCGAAGGCGGCUCGCUGGAUCUUUUCUGACGCUGAGGCGCGAAAGCUAGGGGAGCAAACGGG